UACGUAGGGGGCAAGCGUUAUCCGGAUUUACUGGGUGUAAAGGGAGCGCAGACGGCAGUGCAAGUCUGGAGUGAAAGCCCGGGGCCCAACCCCGGGACUGCUCUGGAAACUGUACGGCUAGAGUACGGGAGGGGCAGGCGGAAUUCCGUGUGUAGCGGUGAAAUGCGUAGAUAUACGGAGGAACACCAGUGGCGAAGGCGGCCUGCUGGACAUUAACUGACGCUGAGGCGCGAAAGCGUGGGGAGCAAACAGG
RNAcentral lists this ribosomal RNA (253 nucleotides) under uncultured bacterium. RNAcentral's name for it is "partial 16S ribosomal RNA". It matches the Rfam family "Bacterial small subunit ribosomal RNA", at positions 524 to 776 of the family's 1533-position model. The record is from RNAcentral.